AUGCAGAUAGAACUUUGGGCAUAUUUGAUGAACAUUUAUACCCAUUUACACGAGGACAGGUUCCGGAAGAAUACUUUAUAUAUGAUCCUGCACACAAAAUGAUUUUCAAAUUCAUGCGUACCCUGUUUCAUGCCAAAGGGCUAAAUGCUGACUUAGCAAUCAUAAGUUUGGUAUACAUAAAAAGACUUCUAAAGUGUGCUGAUAUCAACAUUUGUCCAUCCAACUGGAAGAGGAUUAUCUUCGGAGCCAUUCUUCUUGCCAUCAAGGUUGGGAGCAAUGUGGCUGUGUGCAAUGAGGAUGCAAAGUCUUUGAGAAAAUGACAGUUGACGAUAUGUGAGUUUGUACAGUUUUUGUGAACUUUCUAACCAUUUUUGAAUACUUUAUUUGCUCCCAUAAACACUUUGAGAAAUACUUUUAAAGGUUACAUUAUGCAGAUAAUAAGAAUGGGCAUAAAUACCACAUACUCUUUCUCCCCAGCUUUAGAAGAACAGUUCAUAUUUUUCACUAUUCAUUGGUAGGUCUUGGUAAAUUGCCGUUGUAGUAAUCUCAUAAAUGGAAAAGUAUUUUUCUGGUGAAUGUUUUUGGCAAAUAUCUUAACAGUGUACAAUGAGAAACAUAAUAGUACAGUCAGUUUCCUUAUGGCUUUUACAAGCUGUCUGCAAGUUCUAGUCUCUUUGUGAGGAGUGCAUAUCUGGCCUUUGAAAUAAUUGUUUGCCCAUUGAUAAGUCAGAGGCCUCUGCAUUGUGAAGUAUAGCUUCACCCUGAGUCAUAACAUCGUGUAUUUGCAUUUGCUGGUGUUCUCCCGCUUUUCUCUGAAGAUCUGUUAUGUAGAAACCUUGAGAUACAGAAUAGCCACAGUUCCCUGUGCCCCUGUCCUCUCCCCAUUAGGAGUGUUGCAUCACUGGGCUGAUGAGUUAAAAGUUCCAGUGUUCCCCUCAGGCAGUCUGAGAAACAUUGCUGGGGCAUCACCCCAUGCUCACCACACUCAGGAGGUUCCUGGGGCAUUAAUGCAACCACAGCAGCCCUUGGGGGGGCCCCAAUUUAUCUAUGAGAAUGCAAGAAAUCUUGCUGAAUCGUGGAGUUGCUCAUAGACGGCAACUUGACACUGAAACAGGAGCUUCAUGGGUCUUUCUUCCAGUCUGGCCUCAUGACUGCUGUAAAGGGAAGGGUCUUGGAGCUGGUUGGUAGGGUGAGCCAGGGAGGCAUUUCCAGCAGAGGCUCUCACAGUGUCCACUAGACAACGAGAGUGGCUUUGUGGGUGACACUUAGGAAAAUCUGAAGGAACACCUCUUGAUGACAUAGAAGUAUAUGAAGCAUAUGAAGAUGAAGAUCCUCAGGCAGUGGAAAGAGGGUUUUGUUUUUUGUGGUUUUUUUGUUUGUUUGUUUGAUUCUUUGUUUUUACAUUUGGCCUAUUACUCCAGAUAAAACUGAUUCAGGAUGUAUGCAGUCACAAAUAGAAGUUUCUGCCAAUUGCGCUCCGCACAGGAAUAACAACUUUAGCAACUAUCUAAAAAAGCACCUCCAUAAGAACUGAAAAUUAUUUAAGUGUUCAUAUGACAUGGUUUUAACAUCAUAUCACUGAAAGAGGCACUGAACAGCAUAGAAAAGACAGUCUUGAAUUGUUGAUGCCACCACUGUGAACCUGUGGCAAGGAGAGAGGCUACAUACUUGGGGAAGGGAGAGCACCGCAGCUGUGGGACUUUGCCUGAACUCAGUGCUGCCUCAUCAUAGCAUAAAGCAAAACAAAGCUGAACCCACCCAGUACCCACCCACAGAAAAAACAUUUAGACUAGCCCCAACCAUAGGGGAAUUACUCAUCCCCGUGGUUGGAACUUGAGUUGUGAAAGGCUGGCUGCCGUGGGAUAAAAUAGUCUGGGGUCCUUAAUAAACCUGAAGACUGUUUAGGUCACAAGGA
Molecule: long non-coding RNA, 1915 nt
Organism: Cebus imitator (Panamanian white-faced capuchin)
Lineage: Eukaryota; Metazoa; Chordata; Mammalia; Primates; Cebidae
Exons: 3
Source: RefSeq, a predicted model, not a curated record